This 508-nucleotide ribosomal RNA is filed under the name uncultured bacterium. RNAcentral's name for it is "partial 16S ribosomal RNA". It matches the Rfam family "Bacterial small subunit ribosomal RNA", at positions 28 to 523 of the family's 1533-position model. The record is from RNAcentral.
GAUGAACGCUAGCUACAGGCUUCACACAUGCAAGUCGAGGGGAAACGAUAGAGAAAGCUUGCUUUUUCUAGGCGUCGACCGGCGCACGGGUGAGUAACGCGUAUCCAACCUGCCCACCACUUGGGGAUAACCUUGCGAAAGUAAGACUAAUACCCAAUGAUACCUCUAGAAGACAUCUGAAAGCGAUUAAAGAUUUAUCGGUGAUGGGUGGGGAUGCGUCUGAUUAGCUUGUUGGCGGGGUAACGGCCCACCAAGGCUACGAUCAGUAGGGGUUCUGAGAGGAAGGUCCCCCACAUUGGAACUGAGACACGGUCCAAACUCCUACGGGAGGCAGCAGUGAGGAAUAUUGGUCAAUGGACGAGAGUCUGAACCAGCCAAGUAGCGUGCAGGAUGACGGCCCUAUGGGUUGUAAACUGCUUUUAUAAGGGAAUAAAGUGAGCCACGUGUGGCUUUUUGCAUGUACCUUAUGAAUAAGGACCGGCUAAUUCCGUGCCAGCCGCCGCGGUAA